GCAGCCGUGGCCUACAGGUUAGGGCUUCGGACUUCGGACCGGAGGGUAGCCGGUUCGAACCCCGACCAGUAGGA
Molecule: transfer RNA, 74 nt
Filed under: Alosa alosa (allis shad)
Lineage: Eukaryota; Metazoa; Chordata; Actinopteri; Clupeiformes; Clupeidae
Description: tRNA-OTHER
Source: RNAcentral